This 805-nucleotide ribosomal RNA is filed under the name uncultured Anaerolineae bacterium. RNAcentral's name for it is "bacterial SSU rRNA". It matches the Rfam family "Bacterial small subunit ribosomal RNA", at positions 58 to 873 of the family's 1533-position model. Lineage: Bacteria; Bacillati; Chloroflexota; Anaerolineae. The record is from RNAcentral.
CAAGUCGAACGAGGUGCUUUUGUAGCAAUACGAGAGUAUCCUAGUGGCGAACGGGUGAGUAACGCGUUGGUGACCUACCCCAAAGUGUGGAAUAACAGUCCGAAAGGAUUGCUAAUACCGCAUGUGGUUAUCGGGCUUAGAAACUGAUAACUAAAGGAGCAAUUCGCUUUGGGAGGGACCUGCGUCCCAUCAGCUAGUUGGUGAGGUAAUGGCUCACCAAGGCUACGACGGGUAGGGGACCUGAGAGGGUGACCCCCCACAAUGGAACUGAAACACGGUCCAUACACCUACGGGUGGCAGCAGUAGGGAAUAUUGCACAAUGGGCGAAAGCCUGAUGCAGCAACGCCGCGUGUGCGAUGAAGGCCUUCGGGUCGUAAAGCACUUUUCUGAGAGAUGAGAAAGGACAGUAUCUCAGGAAUAAGUCUCGGCUAACUACGUGCCAGCAGCCGCGGUAAAACGUAGGAGGCGAGCGUUAUCCGGAUUCACUGGGCGUAAAGCGCGUGCAGGUGGUUCGGUAAGUUAGGCGUGAAAUCUCCCGGCUCAACUGGGAGAGGUCGUCUAAUACUACCGAACUUGAGAGCAGAAGAGGAAGAUGGAAUUCCCGGUGUAGUGGUGAAAUGCGUAGAUAUCGGGAGGAACACCAGUGGCGAAGGCGAUCUUCUGGUCUGUUUCUGACACUCAGACGCGACAGCUAGGGUAGUAAACGGGAUUAGAGACCCCGGUAAUCCUAGCCGUAAACGAUGUGAACUUGGCGUUGGUGGGUUAACUCCAUCAGUGCCGAAGCAAACGCGAUAAGUUCACCGCC